GUCUUGAAAACACCGAUUUCCUCAGUAAGUCUAAAUUUAUUUCAAUCAGACUUUUCCUUGUUUAUUAAUUGUUGAUUUGAAAAUAGAGACUUGGGUUUUCAUUUAUGAAAUCACUUGUGUCCGUAAUGAGUGAUGUUAGUAGAAAUUUAUAAUCCUCUCUCUAUUAUUUGAUCUAUCCUUUUUGUGUGUUGAUCUAUAUACAUAUAUUUUUUGGUUGAUGAUUUUCCUUCUAGAUGAAUCAAUCUCUAUGAUCUGCAGUGGAAUUUUUUU
Molecule: unclassified non-coding RNA, 270 nt
Filed under: Hevea brasiliensis (rubber tree)
Lineage: Eukaryota; Viridiplantae; Streptophyta; Magnoliopsida; Malpighiales; Euphorbiaceae
Source: RNAcentral